AUUGAACGCUGGCGGCAGGCCUAACACAUGCAAGUCGAGCGGAUGAAGGGAGCUUGCUCCUGGAUUCAGCGGCGGACGGGUGAGUAAUGCCUAGGAAUCUGCCUGGUAGUGGGGGAUAACGUCCGGAAACGGGCGCUAAUACCGCAUACGUCCUGAGGGAGAAAGUGGGGGAUCUUCGGACCUCACGCUAUCAGAUGAGCCUAGGUCGGAUUAGCUAGUUGGUGGGGUAAAGGCCUACCAAGGCGACGAUCGGUAACUGGUCUGAGAGGAGGAUCAGUCAAACUGGAACUGAGACACGGUCCAGACUCCUACGGGAGGAAGCAGUGGGGAAUAUUGGACAUUGGGCGAAAGCCUGCUCCAGCCAUGCCGCGUGUGUGAAGAAGGUCUUCGGAUUGUAAAGCACUUUAAGUUGGGAGGAAGGGCAGUAAGUUAAUACCUUGCUGUUUUGACGUUACCAACAGAAUAAGCACCGGCUAACUUCGUG
This 484-nucleotide ribosomal RNA is filed under the name uncultured bacterium. Its description in RNAcentral is "partial 16S ribosomal RNA". It matches the Rfam family "Bacterial small subunit ribosomal RNA", at positions 30 to 507 of the family's 1533-position model. The record is from RNAcentral.